GACGAACGCUGGCGGCGUGCUUAACACAUGCAAGUCGAACGGAAAGGCCCUGCUUUUGUGGGGUGCUCGAGUGGCGAACGGGUGAGUAACACGUGAGUAACCUGCCCUUGACUUUGGGAUAACUUCAGGAAACUGGGGCUAAUACCGGAUAGGAGCUCCUGCUGCAUGGUGGGGGUUGGAAAGUUUCGGCGGUUGGGGAUGGACUCGCGGCUUAUCAGCUUGUUGGUGGGGUAGUGGCUUACCAAGGCUUUGACGGGUAGCCGGCCUGAGAGGGUGACCGGGCACAUUGGGACUGAGAUAGGGACCAGACGCCUACGGGAGGCAGUAGGGGGGAAUAUUGCACAAUGGGCGGAAGCCUGAUGCAGCAACGCCGCGUGCGGGAUGACGGCCUUCGGGUUGUAAACCGCUUUCGCCUGUGACGAAGCGUGAGUGACGGUAAUGGGUAAAGAAGCACCGGCUAACUACGUG
RNAcentral lists this ribosomal RNA (468 nucleotides) under uncultured bacterium. RNAcentral's name for it is "partial 16S ribosomal RNA". It matches the Rfam family "Bacterial small subunit ribosomal RNA", at positions 28 to 507 of the family's 1533-position model. The record is from RNAcentral.